AGUGAACGCUGGCGGUAGGCCUAACACAUGCAAGUCGAACGGCAGCACAGUAAGAGCUUGCUCUUACGGGUGGCGAGUGGCGGACGGGUGAGGAAUACAUCGGAAUCUACUUUUUCGUGGGGGAUAACGUAGGUAAACUUACGCUAAUACCGCAUACGACCUACGGGUGAAAGCAGGGGAUCUUCGGACCUUGCGCGAUUGAAUGAGCCGAUGUCGGAUUAGCUGGUUGGCGGGGUAAAGGCCCACCAAGGCGACGAUCCGUAGCUGGUCUGAGAGGAUGAUCAGCCACACUGGAACUGAGACACGGUCCAGACUCCUACGGGAGGCAGCAGUGGGGAAUAUUGGACAAUGGGCGCAAGCCUGGUCCAGCCAUACCGCGUGGGUGAAGAAGGCCUUCGGGUUGUAAAGCCCUUUUGUUGGGAAAGAAAAGCAGCAGGUUAAGACCCCGCUGUUCUGACGGUACCCAAAGAAUAAGCACCGGCUAACUUCGUG
Molecule: ribosomal RNA, 492 nt
Filed under: uncultured bacterium
Lineage: Bacteria
Description: partial 16S ribosomal RNA
Rfam family: Bacterial small subunit ribosomal RNA
Source: RNAcentral